Molecule: ribosomal RNA, 468 nt
Filed under: uncultured bacterium
Lineage: Bacteria
Description: partial 16S ribosomal RNA
Rfam family: Bacterial small subunit ribosomal RNA
Source: RNAcentral
GACGAACGCUGGCGGCGUGCUUAACACAUGCAAGUCGAACGGAAAGGCCCUGCUUUUGUGGGGUGCUCGAGUGGCGAACGGGUGAGUAACACGUGAGUAACCUGCCCUUGACUUUGGGAUAACUUCAGGAAACUGGGGCUAAUAUCGGAUAGGAGCUCCUGCUGCAUGGUGGGGGUUGGAAAGUUUCGGCGGUUGGGGAUGGACUCGCGGCUUAUCAGCUUGUUGGUGGGGUAGUGGUUUACCAAGGCUUUGACGGGUAGCCGGCCUGAGAGGGUGACCGGGCACAAUGGGACUGAGAUACGGACCAGUCUCCAACGGGAGGCAGCAGUGGGGAAUAUUACACAGUGAGCGGGAGCGUGAUGCGACGACGCCGCGUGCGGGAUGACGGCCUUCGGGUUGUAAACCGCUUUCGCCUGAGACGAAGCGUGAGUGACGGUAAUGAGUAAAGAAGCACCGGCUAACUACGUG